Molecule: ribosomal RNA, 104 nt
Filed under: Pteropus alecto (black flying fox)
Lineage: Eukaryota; Metazoa; Chordata; Mammalia; Chiroptera; Pteropodidae
Also listed under: 1 other name
Source: RNAcentral
GUCUACGGCCGUGCCACCCUGAACAAGCCCUAUGUCUGAUCUCAGAAGCUAAGCAGGGUCGGGUCUGGUUAGUACUUGGAUGGGAAGACCAGAUGCUGUAGGCA